This 632-nucleotide long non-coding RNA is filed under the name Sinocyclocheilus anshuiensis. RNAcentral describes it as "lncRNA (ENSSANG00000045096.1)". The record is from RNAcentral. Lineage: Eukaryota; Metazoa; Chordata; Actinopteri; Cypriniformes; Cyprinidae.
UGUUCGUGGUGCAGAGAAAGCAGUAGAUGUCGAAAUGGAGAGUGCUGGUGCAUGAUUACAACAGCCGUCCAGCCCCGGGUGAGUGUAGCGUUAACUAAUACAAUAACUAAAUUAAAAUAAAUAAAUAAAAACAUACAAUUUUAAUAAAAAUCUAACUCUUUACUUGUGAUCUGCAGUAUCCUCUCAGAUUCUGAACACAUCAACCCCUCCUGACAUGUCAUCUUUCCAGUUUAAGAUAGCUCAUCGUCUCUACACACCCUAUCUACAUUGAAGUCACCCCUUGUAUUUGUCACCAGAUCACACCAAGCUAAGCCAGUAACCAUCAGCUGACCUUGGACUUGCCAAUGGGCACUUAACUUCUACCAGGCCAUAGGAAGGUUCUUCAUUUGGGUGCACCACUUUGCCAUCUGGACUUGCACUAAGGUGUGGAGCAUCUGGGUGGAUGAUGAGACCAGAUGGAAGAACAUUAACAUCAAAGAAACGAUGCAUUGCUUUGGUGUGGGGGGCACCUUUAAUGAUCCGGCCAGCCCGUGUCAUUGCAGUGGAUUCGGACCUCACAUGAGCUGCUUCAUAGAACUUGCUUGCUGUAAGUCAAGGGCAAUGCAUUCUAACCCAUAGUGGGCUUUUUGAUU